Molecule: long non-coding RNA, 442 nt
Organism: Dromaius novaehollandiae (emu)
Lineage: Eukaryota; Metazoa; Chordata; Aves; Casuariiformes; Dromaiidae
Exons: 2
Source: RefSeq, a predicted model, not a curated record
AGAGACGGGUGAUUUGAAAUGCGCAGCGUGCCCACCUCGGUGGCACUGCAGUGUGGCCUCACGCUACUCACGGCCAGGUUCAGAGUGGCCUCGGCACCAAGAACGGAAUCACAGCAACCCUGAGAUGAUCAAGACUUUAUCAUGACAACAGGUACACAAACUCUUCAGGAGGAGCAUUCCCUGGUCCAAGAGGUCAAGCUGAUUUUAAUGAAGAAGGAUGGAUCCACUUUCAAGUCAAGAUUCAUCUAAUAUUCUAAGACUAAGAGUGCUUAUAUAGAAAGUCCAGGAUGUACUUAUGACUGAGUCUGGAUGUUGAGUAACAGAAUAGAUUCUUUGUGCAAGAACAUAUGCAACACUUGAUAUCUAAUACCUAAAGCUGAGUAAUGGUGACACAAAGUGUGUUAAACAUUUGUUCUGAGAAUAAAGCAGAAGAUGAAAAAUG